ACAUAGACACACCCUCUAUCUCCAAACAUAUAUACACUUAUUAAUUAAAUAAAAAAAUAAUAAUUUAUAAUAAAAUAAUCAAACUUGUCAUGCCUUUAAAUCUGACACAGAUACAUUAUAAGAUUUCAUAAAAUUUCAAAAACUAAGUUUUUUAAUAAAUAAAAAGUUACCAAACAUAUUUGUGGAUCUACUCCAAUAACAUACAAUAAUCUAACAAAAAUAUUUUAAAGUAAAAGAGUGCAUCAAAUACAUCAAUAAAAAUAAAUUAUAUUUUCUAACAAUGUUAAAAUUCCAAAAAUCCUAAUAAUAAUACUCUAUUCAAAUCCAAUGGCAUAUCUUCCAAGUUUUCACAUCCAUCAAGCUAUACCUUCUUCAAAUUUGUCAUACCCUCAAAACUAGCAUGGAUGGCUUUCAAAUUCUUUGAAUUUUUCAAACUAAGUUCUUGAAUAGAUGUGAGGUUCCUAAAUCCUUCAUGCACCUCUUUCAAGUCAAAGAAACCAUCUAAUAAUAAUAUUUGUAGGGAUAGGAGUGCAUCAAAUGCAUCAUCAUCAAACUUCAUAUUUACACAAUUUUGAAGAUUUAAAUACUCUAAUGAUAAUAGUGCCUUCAAACCUAAUAGGAUGUCUUCCAAGUUUUCACAUCCAUUAAGCCAUAUCUUCAAAUUUGUCAUGCCCUCAAAACUAGCAUAGAUGGCUUUUAAGUUCUGACAAUUUGUAAAACUAAGUUCUUAAAUAGAAGUAAGAUUGCUAAAUCCUUCAUGUACCUCUUUCAACUCCAAGCAACCAUCUAAUAAUAAUAUUUGUAAAGAUAGGAGUGCAUCAAAUGAAUCAUCAUCAAACUUCAUUUUUGUACAAUUUUGAAGAUUUAAGUACUCCAAUGAUGAUAGUGUCUUCAAACCUAAUGGCAUGUCUUUUAAGUUUUCACAUCCAUCAAGCCAUACCUUCUUCAAAUUUGUCAUGCCCUCAAAACUAGCAUAGAUGGCUUUUAAGUUCUUGGAAUUUUUCAAACUAAGUUCUUGAAUAGAUGUGAGGUUGCUAAAUCCUUCAUGUACCUCUUUCAACUCCAAGCAACCAUCUAAUAACAAUAUUUGUAAGGAUAGGAGUGCAUCAAAUGCAUCAUCAUCAAACUUCAUUUUUGUACAAUUUUGAAGAUUUAAAUACUCCAAUAAUGAUAGUGUCUUCAAACCUAAUGGCAUGACUUCUAAGUUUUCACAUCCAUCAAGCCAUACCUUCUUCAAAUUUCUCAUGCCCUCAAAACUAGCAUAGAUAGCUUUCAAGUUCUUACAAUUUGUAAAACUAAAUUCUUGAAUAGAUGUGAGGUUGCUAAAUCCUUUGUGUAUCUCUUUCAACUCCAAGCAACCAUCUAAUAACAAUAUUUGUAAGGAUAGGAGUGCAUCAAAUGCAUCAUCAUCAAACUUCAUUUUUACACAAUUUUGAAGAUCUAAAUACUCUAAUGAUGAUAGUAUCUUCAAAUCUAAAGGCAUUUCUUCUAAGUUUUCACAUCCAUCAAGCCAUAUCUUCUUCAAAUUUGUCAUGCCCUCAAAACUAGCAUAGAUGGCUUUCAAGUUCUUACAAUUUGUAAAACUAAGUUCUUGAAUAGAUGUGAGGUUGCUAAAUCUUUCAUGCACCUCUUUCAAGUCCAAGCAACCAUCUAAUAAUAAUAUUUGUAAGGAUAGGAGUGCAUUAAAUGCAUCAUCAUCAAACUUCAUUUUUAUACAAUCUUGAAGAUCUAAAUACUUCAAUGAUGAUAGUGUCUUCAAACCUAAUGGCAUGUCUUCCAAGUUUUCACAUCCAUCAAGGCAUAUCUUCUUCAAAUUUUUCAUGCCCUCAAAACUAGCAUAGAUGGCUUUCAAGUUCUGACAAUUUACAAAACUAAGUUCUUGAAUAGAUGUGAGGUUGCUAAAUCCUUCAUGUACCUCUUUCAAGUCAAAGCAACCAUCUAAUAAUAAUAUUUGUAGGGAUAGGAGUGCAUCAAAUGCAUCAUCAUCAAACUUCAUAUUUGCACAAUCUUGAAGAUUUAAAUACUCCAAUGAUGAUAGUAUCUUUAAAUCCAAUGGCAUGACUUCUAAGUUUUUACAUCCGUCAAGCCAUAUCUUCUUCAAAUUUGUCAUACCCUCAAAACUAACAUGAAUGGCUUUCAAGUUCUUGCAAUUUGUAAAACUAAGUUCUUGAAUAGAUGUGAGGUUGCUAAAUCCUUCAUGCACCUCUUUCAACUCCAAGCAACCAUCUAAUAAUAAUAUUUGUAAAGAUAGGAGUGCAUCAAAUGCAUCAUCAUCAAACUUAAUUUUUAUACAAUUUUGAAGAUCUAAAUACUCCAAUGAUGAUAGUGUCUUCAAAUCUAAAAGCAUGUCUUCUAAGUGUUCACAUCCAUUAAGCCAUAUCUUCUUCAAAUUUGUCAUGCCCUCAAAACUAGCAUGGAUGGCUUUCAAGUUCUUGCAAUUUUUUAAACUAAGUUCUUGAAUAGAUGUGAGGUUCUUGAAUCCUUCAUGCACCUCUUUCAAGUCAAAGCAACCAUCUAAUAACAAUAUUUGUAGGGAUAGGAGUGCAUCAAAUGCAUCAUCAUCAAACUUCAUAUUUGUACAAUCUUGAAGAUUUAAAUACUCCAAUGAUGAUAGUGUCUUCAAACCUAAUGGCAUGUCUUCCAAGUUUUCACAUCCAUCAAGCCAUAUCUUCUUCAAAUUUGUCAUGCCCUCAAAACUAACAUGGAUGGCUUCCAAAUUCAUGCAAUUUGUAAAACUAAGUUUUUGAAUAGAUGUUAGAUUGCUAAAUCCUUUAUGCACCUCUUUCAACUCCAAGCAACCAUCUAAUAACAAUAUUUGUAAGGAUAGGAGUGCAUCAAAUGCACCAUUAUCAAACUUCAUUUUUGUACAAUUUUGAAGAUCUAAAUACUCUAAUGAUGAUAGUGUCAUCAAACCUAAUGGCAUGUCUUCUAAAUUUUCACAUCCAUCAAGCCAUACCUUCUUCAAAUUUGUCAUGCCCUCAAAAUUAGCAUGGAUGGCUUUUAAGUUCUUGCAAUUUGUAAAACUAAGUUCUUGAAUAGAUGUAAGGUUGCUGAAUCCUUCAUGCAUCUCUUUUAAGUCCAAGCAACCAUCUAAUACUAAUAUUUGUAAGGAUAAGAGUGCAUCAAAUGCAUCAUCAUCGAACUUCAUUUUUGUACAAUUUUGAAGAUUUAAAUACUCUAAUGAUAAUAGUGCCUUCAAAUUGAAUAGCGUGUCUUCUAAGUUUUCACAUCCAUUAAGCCAUAUCUUUUUCAAAUUUGUCAUGCCCUCAAAACUAGCAUAGAUGGCUUUCAAGUUCUUGCAAUGUUUAAAACUAAGUUCUUGAAUAGAUAUGAGGUUGCUAAAUCCUUCAUGUACCUCUUUCAACUCCAAGCAACCAUCUAAUAACAAUAUUUGUAAGGAUAGGAGUGCAUCAAAUGCAUCAUCAUCAAACUUCAUUUUUGCACAAUUUUGA
Molecule: long non-coding RNA, 3452 nt
Filed under: Physcomitrium patens
Lineage: Eukaryota; Viridiplantae; Streptophyta; Bryopsida; Funariales; Funariaceae
Description: long non-coding RNA (PPAT_LNC001720)
Source: RNAcentral